GAGAGACAAACCAACGAGCAUAGCACAUGGCAAAGGAGUGUCUCGAGAGAGACAGACCAAGAGCAUAGCACAUGCAAGGGAUGGCAGUAUAUUGAGUGUUAACGAUGGGAUAGUGGCGGACGGGCGAGUAACGCGUGAGCAACCUGCCUUGUACUGGGGGAUAACACCGGGAAACCGGUGCUAAUACCGCAUAAUACUACAGGAACGCAUGUUUUUGUAGUCAAAACUCCGGUGGUACAAGAUGGGCUCGCGUCCAAUUAGCUAGUUGGUGAGGUAACGGCCCACCAAGGCGACGAUUGGUAGCCGAACUGAGAGGUUGAUCGGCCGCAUUGGGACUGAGACACGGCCCAGACUCCUACGGGAGGCAGCAGUGGGGAAUAUUGCGCAAUGGAGGAAACUCUGACGCAGCAACGCCGCGUGAAGGAUGAAGGUUUUCGGAUUGUAAACUUCUUUGAUCGGGGACGAAAUAGACGGUACCCGAGGAACAAGCCACGGCUAACUACGUG
Molecule: ribosomal RNA, 506 nt
Filed under: uncultured bacterium
Lineage: Bacteria
Description: bacterial SSU rRNA
Rfam family: Bacterial small subunit ribosomal RNA
Source: RNAcentral